Molecule: long non-coding RNA, 656 nt
Organism: Mesocricetus auratus (golden hamster)
Lineage: Eukaryota; Metazoa; Chordata; Mammalia; Rodentia; Cricetidae
Exons: 3
Source: RefSeq, a predicted model, not a curated record
GGAUCUGUGGGUGCAGCUCCUCAACACUGCCCUCAAGUUUGGGAUAACGGAGCAGUCAUCAGGCCGCCAGUGAAAGGAGGCUGCUAUGCUUUCCAGCCACAGGCUGUUGCACUAAGAAAUGCCAUCUCCACCCAUGUGUGAAUAAUACACCUGCAACAGCGCUCACCACAAGUCCUUCCUGUUAGCUACAGCGCGCAUCCUGAGCAGGAGACAGGCAACGCCUCAGCAGUCCUCUACUAUGACUAGACAAGCCAACAGAGGGGUCUACCAGAUGGAUGUCAAGAUUAUGUGUCUCCAGGAUCAGGGGCAUUGGCCAAGGAUGUUUGUCAACCAGUCACUUAUUUAGUCAGUGUGAAGUUUGCCGGAGAAUUGUGUCUACCUCUUCAUUCUGACUUAGAAACACAACAGCUGCACCAGGAUGAAGAGAUGACGUCACCUAAGAAGCUGUUAAUAUUUCAGGUGACAGCUGGAAUCUGGAUGCUUUGAGAAGUCUCAGCUGUUAAUUUCAUUCAGUUCCUUAUCAGUUAGGCACACCCAUUUGUGCAUGUACACAAUAGUCCAAUACUGACAAUAUAGAUAUUAUAAAAUUAAUUGCUUGCUUUUGUUUUAUGUUUUGCUUCCUUUAGUUUAGGAAAUAACCACAAAUAAAUUAUUUU